Cynocephalus volans (Philippine flying lemur) is the source of this 509-nucleotide long non-coding RNA. RefSeq lists it as uncharacterized. The transcript has 2 exons. The record is from RefSeq and is a predicted model, not a curated record. Lineage: Eukaryota; Metazoa; Chordata; Mammalia; Dermoptera; Cynocephalidae.
AGGAUCUGAGGAAGAAGCUGAAGAGAAACAGGACGGUGAAAAACCACUUUUAGAGCUUUGAGCGCCACUUCUGUUAAAUGUGAAGAGCCUCCCUGAGAGUCAUCCCAGGGGAAGACGCCUGGCCAUGGGGACGCCGCUGCUGACUGCACUGGGCAGCUGAGCCAGCACGUGUUUACACGGGACCUCGCGGACAGGGCACCGCGUUCACAUGGCUCGGCCGCCUGCCUGGGGCUGGGGAGAUCGGGACACUGCCCAGUGAGUGACACUGCUCCGCUCUGUCCCAGAGCAGCUGAAGGAACGUCUGUGCUGGGUUCCUCAUUAAGAGACUCAUUAACAUACUGAAAUAACAGUUUUGUAGUAGGCAAAACACUUUUUUUGUUUUAUGUCUCAGAUUUCUUUCGUAUUUCUUUUUUAACACCCUACAUUUCCCUUGUGGUUUUUAACUCAUGCACAUGUGUCGUUUGGACAAUUGUAAAAAGUAAUAAAAUCCAACAUAUCAAAAUGAUUAA